This 515-nucleotide ribosomal RNA is filed under the name uncultured Flavobacterium sp. Its description in RNAcentral is "bacterial SSU rRNA". It matches the Rfam family "Bacterial small subunit ribosomal RNA", at positions 9 to 524 of the family's 1533-position model. Lineage: Bacteria; Pseudomonadati; Bacteroidota; Flavobacteriia; Flavobacteriales; Flavobacteriaceae. The record is from RNAcentral.
GAGUUUGAUCGUGGCUCAGGAUGAACGCUAGCGGCAGGCUUAACACAUGCAAGUCGAGGGGUAUAGGUUUUCGGACCUAGAGACCGGCGCACGGGUGCGUAACGCGUAUGCAAUCUGCCUUUUACAGAGGGAUAGCCCAGAGAAAUUUGGAUUAAUACCUCAUAGUAUUAUUGAAUGGCAUCAUUUAAUAAUUAAAGUUCCAACGGUAAAAGAUGAGCAUGCGUCCCAUUAGCCAGAUGGUAAGGUAACGGCUUACCAUGGCGACGAUGGGUAGGGGUCCUGAGAGGGAGAUCCCCCACACUGGUACUGAGACACGGACCAGACUCCUACGGGAGGCAGCGGUGAGGAAUAUUGGUCAAUGGGCGCAAGCCUGAACCAGCCAUGCCGCGUGCAGGAUGAAGGUCCUAUGGAUUGUAAACUGCUUUUGACAGGAAGAACAGUUCUACGUGUAGAACCUUGACGGUACUGUAAGAAUAAGGAUCGGCUAACUCCGUGCCAGCAGCCGCCGCGGUAAG